Molecule: long non-coding RNA, 225 nt
Filed under: Physcomitrium patens
Lineage: Eukaryota; Viridiplantae; Streptophyta; Bryopsida; Funariales; Funariaceae
Description: long non-coding RNA (PPAT_LNC013929)
Source: RNAcentral
UUUUAACUAGAAUACUCUCUAAUUCUUUUUCUAACAAGAUUUACAUAAUAUAUGUCCUAAACAUCAAAUAAAAGAAACAAAAUAAAAUUUCAAGAAUCACCAAUGUCUAACAAAAGUGACUUUAAAUAUAUAAAAGUUACUAUCAACCAAAAUUAAUCUUAAAAGCCACUAUCAAAAGAAAAUAAAGUUAUAUAAAUUUUAAUAAUAUUUCUUUUAAACAAUCUC